CAUGCAGUCGAGCGGCAGCGACAACAUUGACCCUUCGGGUGAUUUGUUGGGCGGCGAGCGGCGGACGGGUGAGUAAUGCCUGGGAACAUGCCUUAGUGUGGGGGAUAACCAUUGGAAACGAUGGCUAAUACCGCAUAAUCUCUACGGAGCAAAGAGGGGGACCUUCGGGCCUCUCGCGCUAAGAUUGGCCCAGGUGGGAUUAGCUAGUAGGUGGGGUAACGGCUCACCUAGGCGACGAUCCCUAGCUGGUCUGAGAGGAUGAUCAGCCACACUGGAACUGAGACACGGUCCAGACUCCUACGGGAGGCAGCAGUGGGGAAUAUUGCACAAUGGGGGAAACCCUGAUGCAGCCAUGCCGCGUGUGUGAAGAAGGCCUUCGGGUUGUAAAGCACUUUCAGCAAUGAGGAAGGCGGUAUCGUUAAUAGCGGUAUUGUUUGACGUUAGCUGCAGAAGAAGCACCGGCUAACUCCGUGCCAGCAGCCGCGGUAAUACGGAGGGUGCGAGCGUUAAUCGGAAUUACUGGGCGUAAAGCGCAUGCAGGCGGCUUGUUAAGCCAGAUGUGAAAGCCCGGGGCUCAACCUCGGAAUCGCAUUUGGAACUGGCAGGCUAGAGUCUGUAGAGGGGGUAGAAUUUCAGGUGUAGCGGUGAAAUGCGUAGAGAUCUGAGGAAUACCGGUGGGCGAGGCGGCCCUGGACAA
Molecule: ribosomal RNA, 697 nt
Filed under: uncultured bacterium
Lineage: Bacteria
Description: bacterial SSU rRNA
Rfam family: Bacterial small subunit ribosomal RNA
Source: RNAcentral